This 253-nucleotide ribosomal RNA is filed under the name uncultured bacterium. RNAcentral describes it as "partial 16S ribosomal RNA". It matches the Rfam family "Bacterial small subunit ribosomal RNA", at positions 524 to 776 of the family's 1533-position model. The record is from RNAcentral.
UACGUAGGGGGCAAGCGUUGUCCGGAUUUAUUGGGCGUAAAGAGCGUGUAGGCGGCCAGGUAGGUCCGCUGUGAAAACUCGAGGCUCAACCUCGAGAUGUCGGCGGAAACCAUCUGGCUAGAGUCCGGAAGAGGAGAGUGGAAUUCCUGGUGUAGCGGUGGAAUGCGCAGAUAUCAGGAAGAACACCCGUGGCGAAGGCGGCUCUCUGGGACGGUACUGACGCUGAGACGCGAAAGCGUGGGGAGCGAACAGG